Long non-coding RNA from Condylostylus longicornis, 300 nucleotides. RefSeq lists it as uncharacterized. NCBI's taxonomy places the organism in Eukaryota, Metazoa, Arthropoda, Insecta, Diptera, Dolichopodidae. The record is from RefSeq and is a predicted model, not a curated record. The transcript is spliced from 3 exons.
AUAUGUCUAUUGAUUUUGUAGACUUAUGUAGAUUUCCUUUUUGCAAUAUUCUUUCUUUUUGUCAAAGAUAGAAAAGAAUAUAGUCGGGUUUUCCGCUACAUUUUAAUUCGUCUUAAUAAAAACAGAAAAUGAGAGCUAAGUGGAGGAAGAAGCGUAUGCGGAGGUUGAAGCGUAAACGCAGAAAGAUGCGUGCAAGAUCUAAAUAAGCUUCGACUAGUAAUUGAUUCCAUCGCUCUGAAUAUUAAAAAUAUAUUUGAUUUUAUAAUUGGGUGAAGUUAAAUAAAUAUUAAUUUCGGAGUA